Molecule: ribosomal RNA, 468 nt
Filed under: uncultured bacterium
Lineage: Bacteria
Description: partial 16S ribosomal RNA
Rfam family: Bacterial small subunit ribosomal RNA
Source: RNAcentral
GACGAACGCUGGCGGCGUGCUUAACACAUGCAAGUCGAACGGAAAGGCCCUGCUUUUGUGGGGUGCUCGAGUGGCGAACGGGUGAGUAACACGUGAGUAACCUGCCCUUGACUUUGGGAUAACUUCAGGAAACUGGGGCUAAUACCGGAUAGGAUCUCCUGCUGCAUGGUGGGGGUUGGAAAGUUUCGGCGGGUGGGGAUGGACUCGCGGCUUAUCAGCUUGUUGGUGGGGUAGUGGCUUACCAAGGCUUUGACGGGUAGCCGGCCUGAGAGGGUGACCGGCCACAAUGGGACUGAGGUACGGACCAGACUGCUACGGGAGGCAGCAGUGGGGAAUAUUGCACAGUGGGCGGAAGCCUGAUGAAGCAACGCCGCGUUCGGGAUGACGGCCUUCGGGUUGUAAACCGCUUUCGCCUGUGACGAAGCGUUAGUGACGGUAAUGGGUAAAGAAGCACCGGCUAACUACGUG